This 305-nucleotide ribosomal RNA is filed under the name uncultured bacterium. Its description in RNAcentral is "bacterial SSU rRNA". It matches the Rfam family "Bacterial small subunit ribosomal RNA", at positions 334 to 658 of the family's 1533-position model. The record is from RNAcentral.
GACCCUACGGGGGGCAGCAGUGGGGAAUAUUGCACAAUGGGGGAAACCCUGAUGCAGCGACGCCGCGUGAGUGAAGAAGUAUCUCGGUACGUAAAGCUCUAUCAGCAGGGAAGAAAAUGACGGUACCUGACUAAGAAGCCCCGGCUAACUCCGUGCCAGCAGCCGCGGUAAUACGGAGGAUGCGAGCGUUAUCCGGAUUUAUUGGGUUUAAAGGGUGCGUAGGCGGAAUGCCAAGUCAGCGGUAAAAUCGCGGGGCUCAACCUCGCUCCGCCGUUGAACCUGGCGUUCUUGAGUGGGCGAGAAGU